Molecule: non-coding RNA, 524 nt
Organism: Camellia sinensis
Lineage: Eukaryota; Viridiplantae; Streptophyta; Magnoliopsida; Ericales; Theaceae
Source: RefSeq, a predicted model, not a curated record
UGACAAAAUAGCGGUAGCGGUGGCGGUGGCGGUGUUGGUGUUCCAAACCCACUGCGCAAGUUAGCAUCAGCCCUAUACUCAUCGGCGGAGCUCUCACUCUCUCUCUAGCACCUGUGCCACCAUUCGGACCCUAAGCAAUCUUCGAUGCCAAACAGAAGAAAUUUGAAAUUGGCAUGUGGGAUGUGAGGAAAAGGGUUUUACAAUUGCAAAUUGUACAAAACGGAAUUCAACAAUACAAUGGUCGCCUUUGAUACAGUGUUUGUAGUUGACCGGGAGGACAACUGGGAGGACAACCGGCAAUGGGCAACUUUGCAGCAGAAGGUUGUCUGGUGUACAAUGAAGUCUUAACAGCUAUCUGCAAAAAUUUGAAGAACGUUGAAGCCUUCGUCAAUUUGAUGAAAGUUAUGGGUUUCCCCUCAUUUGAUACGGGUUCAAUGUCAUGGUUAGAGUAGAAAAGGUAUACUUAUUUCAUCAAAUAUAAAUUUGAUGAAAAAAAAAAAGAGUAAGCGUUGGAGACGCUCUAA